This 491-nucleotide ribosomal RNA is filed under the name uncultured bacterium. RNAcentral's name for it is "partial 16S ribosomal RNA". It matches the Rfam family "Bacterial small subunit ribosomal RNA", at positions 29 to 507 of the family's 1533-position model. The record is from RNAcentral.
AGUGAACGCUGGCGGUAGGCCUAACACAUGCAAGUCGAACGCAGCACAGUAAGAGCUUGCUCUUACGGGUGGCGAGUGGCGGACGGGUGGGGAAUACAUCGGAAUCUACUUUUUCGUGGGGGAUAACGUAGGGAAACUUACGCUAAUACCGCAUACGACCUACGGGUGAAAGCAGGGGAUCUUCGGACCUUGCGCGAUUGAAUGAGCCGAUGUCGGAUUAGCUAGUUGGCGGGGUAAAGGCCCACCAAGGCGACGAUCCGUAGCUGGUCUGAGAGGAUGAUCAGCCACACUGGAACUGAGACACGGUCCAGACUCCUACGGGAGGCAGCAGUGGGGAAUAUUGGACAAUGGGCGCAAGCCUGAUCCAGCCAUACCGCGUGGGUGAAGAAGGCCUUCGGGUUGUAAAGCCCUUUUGUUGGGAAAGAAAAGCAGCAGGUUAAUACCCCGCUGUUCUGACGGUACCCAAAGAAUAAGCACCGGCUAACUUCGUG